AACACAUGCAAGUCGAACGCUCGUAGCAAUACGGGGGAGUGGCAGACGGGUGAGUAACGCGUGGGAACGUGCCCUAAGGUACGGAACAACUCCGGGAAACUGGAGCUAAUACCGUAUGUGCCCGAGAGGGGAAAGAUUUAUCGCCUUGGGAUCGGCCCGCGUCUGAUUAGCUAGUUGGUAGGGUAAUGGCCUACCAAGGCGACGAUCAGUAGCUGGUCUGAGAGGAUGACCAGCCACACUGGGACUGAGACACGGCCCAGACUCCUACGGGAGGCAGCAGUGGGGAAUAUUGGACAAUGGGCGAAAGCCUGAUCCAGCCAUGCCGCGUGAGUGAUGAAGGCCUUAGGGUUGUAAAGCUCUUUCGCCAGGGACGAUAAUGACGGUACCUGGAGAAGAAGCCCCGG
This 404-nucleotide ribosomal RNA is filed under the name grassland soil clone sl1_109. RNAcentral describes it as "bacterial SSU rRNA". It matches the Rfam family "Bacterial small subunit ribosomal RNA", at positions 50 to 496 of the family's 1533-position model. The record is from RNAcentral.